RNAcentral lists this transfer RNA (92 nucleotides) under bacterium. RNAcentral's name for it is "tRNA-OTHER". It matches the Rfam family "tRNA". From Rfam's summary of the family: Transfer RNA (tRNA) molecules are approximately 80 nucleotides in length. Their secondary structure includes four short double-helical elements and three loops (D, anti-codon, and T loops). The record is from RNAcentral.
UCCUCCUUAGCUCAGUGGUUAGAGCAGUCAGUCUGAAGGAAAGGCCCCGGUGGGCUGAUAUGUCGAAGGUUCGAAUCCUUCAGGAGGAACCA